RNAcentral lists this long non-coding RNA (1590 nucleotides) under Ornithorhynchus anatinus (platypus). RNAcentral's name for it is "lncRNA (ENSOANG00000039889.1)". Lineage: Eukaryota; Metazoa; Chordata; Mammalia; Monotremata; Ornithorhynchidae. The record is from RNAcentral.
AUAGGAUCCCCUUAGGGAGCGCCUCAGGCCGCCUCAGACCCCCCUCGGAGUGCAGAGUAGAUUUGGGGUGAGGUCUCCCUCCCUCCAUCACACACACACACACGUACUAACAGCUGUUGUUCCCUUAGCCCUCCUUCACUUCGUGUCUAAUGCCGUGGGGGUGGGACACAGGACAGGGAGGGCUCUGGGCAUGGAGCCAGGUGACUGGCCGCCCGCAAGGGGUAGGCCGUCUCCGGGCAGAGCGAUGCCCUGUGAGUGCCGCGGGCCUCGUGUCUGCGAGCACGGGGACGGAGCUGCCGCGGAAGAGGUCGGGGAGGGGGGCACCGAACCCCCUCCCCCUGCAGACACAGUCCUCGACAGCCACUCGGGCAGCUUCCUGGCAGCCCCUGUUCCCAGCCCCUGUUUCCUCCUCCUGGCCCUGAGACUGCUCCUGCUACCUUAUCUUGGUGGGCACCAGAGACUGCACCGGCUGCCCUGGACCCGGACGCUCCUGUGAUCUUCGUGGGCCCCACAGCAGACUGUACCAGCUGGUCCGGACACUACACCGGCCUUCGUGGGCACCAGAGACUGCACCUGCUGGCCCAGACAUCCCACUGACCCUUGUGGGGACCAGAGUUUGCAUCUUCUACCCUGGCCACAGACACCCGCCGUGCCCCCUCUGAGGUGCCAGGAGCACGCGGACCGCCCUGACUCCCUUUCUCGAGCAGAAGUGACCCGAGGCUCUGGGCUCCCAGCAGGACGAAGGGCCUCGUCACUCUCGGCCUGAGCCACCUGCCCUGUCCGCUCUCGGCACUGAGGCUCCAAGGGUGGGGGGGCUUCUCCCCUAAUCACACUAACGUCUGAGUAGCGAGGGACUUGGCAGCGCCCCUCCUUAGCAGCCCCGCCGCCUCCCGGUCCGUAGAAUCUCUGUGCGUGGAGAGCGCGGGGAGUGAUUAAACCGCUGACCGUGUGAGAGUCCCCGACCGGAGCCUGGCUCUGUGCACUGUGUCACCCCCUCGUCUCCAGGGUCCUACUCCAGCCCCACAGACUCGCCCCCUCUUCAUUACCCCCCCACAACUAGCCGCUUUCCCCUCGCUCCCCACAUCUCGUGCCCCUGCCCCCCGGCCUAGCCAGACAUCACCCUUCUUGUCCCUAAAGAAGAGAAGGAGGCUGGCGGGGGGUAUGACCUCACUCUGGCCUAAAGACCCCCAGAUCAGGGACGUUGGAAAAACUUUCACCAUUCCCCUCCACCCCGGGAAAGGAGGGAGGAGAGACCAGCCAGGGCUGUGAGAAAGAUCCUGUCGGGAGCAGACAGGGAGCAUCCUGGGACCCCCACUCUUCCCACAGUGUACAAGGGUGCCGCAAUUUUCCGGGAAUUGGAGUAUCGAUUCAUUCAGAGAAAGGCUGGGAGGUGGAAGGCAGCACACCGGCUGCACCCAGGGUCCAGUCCUACACUGGCCAUCACACCUCCGGACCCCGGCCGGUCGCCGUACCGGAGCCCUGCGGCACCCGGGGGACGUUCUUACCCCGAGGGCCCCCGAGAGUCAGAAAGUAGCUCUUCUCCCUGUGUGAAAUGAGACUCUGAACCCCCUGGAAAUUCCGGGAAAUGAG